CCGGCCUACGGGACGCAGCAGUGGGGGAUAUUGCACAAUGGGGGGAACCCUGAUGCAGCGACGCCGCGUGGGUGAAGAAGCGCCUCGGCGCGUAAAGCCCUGUCAGCAGGGAAGAAAAUGACGGUACCUGAAGAAGAAGCCCCGGCUAACUACGUGCCAGCAGCCGCGGUAAUACGUAGGGGGCAAGCGUUAUCCGGAUUUACUGGGUGUAAAGGGGGCGCAGACGGCGAUGCAAGCCAGGAGUGAAAGCCCGGGGCCAAACCCCGAGACAGCGCUUGGAACUGCGUGGC
This 290-nucleotide ribosomal RNA is filed under the name uncultured bacterium. RNAcentral's name for it is "partial 16S ribosomal RNA". It matches the Rfam family "Bacterial small subunit ribosomal RNA", at positions 334 to 641 of the family's 1533-position model. The record is from RNAcentral.